This is a non-coding RNA of Mycena leptocephala, 95 nucleotides long. NCBI's taxonomy places the organism in Eukaryota, Fungi, Basidiomycota, Agaricomycetes, Agaricales, Mycenaceae. The record is from the annotation of a GenBank genome assembly.
GGCUCGGUCGUGGAGGGUCCACAUCUGCCCUCAAUACUUAGAAGGAGUACGUAUAUUGAUUGCAGAUAUUGCCUGUUCAACUCAGGCCCGAGCCA